CAACGAGAACCCUAUAGAAUUACACCAAUGUUGUCGUUCUUAUUAUUUAUCCCAAUAUCUAAUAAUUUUGAAAAUCAAUUUGAUCGAAUUAACAACCAAAAUCAAAUCAUCGGAGAAUCACAUAACAAAAAUCUGUGUCUUGGUGGAACAUGACGUUUGUUGUUCAUAGCAUUAAGUCGACCUACAAACGAAUGACCUUCAAAGCUAUACAACAACCCAUGAUUGUGAAGUCAAUAUCUUACAUCAAUCUUUCAAUCAAAACCAUUUCUUAAAUAUAAAUGUGAAAAAAGAUUAAUAAAUCUGAUUAGUAAAAAAUACAUCACCACAACUCUUACACUCGAGUUAUCCCAUUAGUAAAAAAUUAAACCAAAAAACGCAUGACAAAAU
This 387-nucleotide long non-coding RNA is filed under the name Lathyrus oleraceus (garden pea). RNAcentral's name for it is "Pisum sativum (pea) long non-coding RNA (PSAT_LNC025151)". Lineage: Eukaryota; Viridiplantae; Streptophyta; Magnoliopsida; Fabales; Fabaceae. The record is from RNAcentral.